RNAcentral lists this ribosomal RNA (263 nucleotides) under uncultured bacterium. Its description in RNAcentral is "partial 16S ribosomal RNA". It matches the Rfam family "Bacterial small subunit ribosomal RNA", at positions 90 to 354 of the family's 1533-position model. The record is from RNAcentral.
UCUUAGUGGCGACGGGUGAGUAACGCGUGGGUAACCUGCCUUAUACAGGGGGAUAACACUUAGAAAUAGGUGCUAAUACCGCAUAAGCGCACGGGGCUGCAUGGCCCAGUGUGAAAAACUCCGGUGGUAUAAGAUGGACCCGCGUCUGAUUAGCUUGUUGGCGGGGUAACGGCCCACCAAGGCGACGAUCAGUAGCCGGCCUGAGAGGGUGGACGGCCACAUUGGGACUGAGACACGGCCCAAACUCCUACGGAAGGCAGCAG